Molecule: transfer RNA, 69 nt
Filed under: Capra hircus (goat)
Lineage: Eukaryota; Metazoa; Chordata; Mammalia; Artiodactyla; Bovidae
Also listed under: 1 other name
Source: Rfam by way of RNAcentral
CCUGGUGGCUUGGAUACUAAAGCAUCUGCCUGCAAUGCAGGAGACCUGGGUUCGAUCCCUGGGUCAGGA